Molecule: long non-coding RNA, 1291 nt
Filed under: Homo sapiens (human)
Lineage: Eukaryota; Metazoa; Chordata; Mammalia; Primates; Hominidae
Description: HSALNT0083692
Source: RNAcentral
CGGAAGGUCAUGAGGGCCUGACCCUCGUACGCGGAAGGCCAUGAGGGCGGGACCCUGGUACGCGGAAGGCCAUGAGGGCGGGAACCCUCGUACGCGGAAGUUCAUGAGGGCGGGACCCUCGUACGCGGAAGGUCAUGAGGGCGGGACCCUCGUACGCGGAAGUUCAUGCGGGCGGGACCCUCGUACGUGGAAGGUCAUGAGGGCGGGACCCUCGUACGUGGAAGGUCAUGAGGGCGGAACCCUGGUACAUGAAAUUCGUUCUCUUAUUUAAGAGACAAAGAACGCCCUUGUUUUUUCCACCACGUGAUGGCGCAGACAGAAGACAACCAGCAUCUAUGAACCAGGAAGCCCCCACCAGGCACUGAAUCUGCCCCUGCGUGGAUCUUAGACUUGCAGACUCCAGAACUGUCCAAAUUUUGGUCUGGAGCCAGAGACAAUAUAGGAUGAAGUUUGAUUUGUUCCAAAACCCACAGAAAUCUCUAAAAUGGAAGAAUUUUCUUAGAACCAAAAGGCAUGGAAUUGAUGACAUGAAACUGUUCUCUCUCCUGCCACCAUUUGAAGAAGGGUGUGUUUGCUUCCCCUUCCACCAUGAUUCUAAGUUUCCUGAGGCCUCCCCAGCUAUGCAGAACUAGUUUUGCUCGGUCACUCACGGCAACCUCCGCCUCCUGGGUUCAAGCAGUUCUCCUGCCUCAGUCUCCCGAGUAGCUGGGACUCUACAGGCAUCCCCCAUCAGAUGUUGUUCUGUUGGGUUUCAUUUAACCAGUCUCAACAAAUGAUACAGAAUAUUUCCUAAAGAACUUAUAAUCCAAUAAAUGACUUUUUGAUGCCUCAUGGAGAAAAUUGGCUUUGAGACCACACUUCUUCCCACUUCUUCAAUAUAAAAGAAAAACAAGUUCUUAUUAACACAAUUUUGGACACUCAAGCACAUUCUAUGGUUCUGUAUUGGUGAUGAAAACUGCCUAUGAGCGACUACCAACCUCUUUUAUGCUGCCUAUUUUUGGAGAUGUCCAAAUUUAAGAUUAAGGAUUCUGGAAAUUUGUUUCACAUAUUCUCUUUCUCUUUCUCUCAAGGUUAGGGUACCCAGUGUCUUCCAAACUAAAGUAUUGUAAUAUUACCCUGCCACCUAGGGGUAUUGCCAAAGAAAUUUAUGCAUGUAUAUAGACAUUUAGUGUAUUGGUCAAAAUGUGACAAUUAUGUUAUUAAAGUAUGUAAUUAACAGUCACAAUUGUGUUUUUGUAUUUUGUUUUCUCUUUCAUAAUAGUCUUUGUUCUUGAAACCAAAUGAGAAUGGU